Molecule: long non-coding RNA, 1900 nt
Organism: Eutrema salsugineum
Lineage: Eukaryota; Viridiplantae; Streptophyta; Magnoliopsida; Brassicales; Brassicaceae
Exons: 5
Source: RefSeq, a predicted model, not a curated record
UAUCCUCUGGCCUGGCGCUAGCAUUGCCAAUGGAUCGUAUCUCGACUUUCUCCGCACAAAAUCUUCCCACUUGGGACCGAAAUGGCUUCUCCACUCUCGUCUUGUUGUGUAAUGUGGCAGAUAUUGCUUCAACCCAAAACCUUGUGCUUGGCUGAAUUCGAGUAUUCUUUGGUUCCGCUUUAAGAUGUGCUCCACUCCAUCCUUCCCCGUCGACCCUGGAACCGCCGACGUCAGGAUCGCCACCAAGUAAAAUAUCUCUUCCUCCGGCGUUACUGCUGAAGUUCUAUUGUCCCACCUGACAAAAAUACAGACGAUGACUGGACCGUUGCUUGUGUCGGUUAGGAUGCUUCCGAAAACACCUUUUGCAAAAUCAUUCACUCUGCUUCUUGGAACUAGGAGAUUCAGCCAUGGAUGUGGAACUUCCCAUUGCCCUUUCGAUCGAAGUUUCUUCUCAGACACAUGUACCCUGUCCAAGAAUUCUUCAUAUGUUACCUCCGUUGAAAACAGUGUCGACGAGACGUAGCUUAGUUCAGAUAACCAUUCUUUCACUUCCUGGAGUGUUCAAAACAAGAUAGAGAUAAAUGAUAUUCAGUUCCAUCUAUCACGGAGCUCAUCAUGCUUUGCAAUACAGAGUCCUCCCAUCAGAUUUGAAUUGGCUGGCUUGUAAAGGGUCUUCUGGGGUGAAGGAUAACCUCCAGUUGUUCAGGAGGCCUGUCCGGUUUAUUAUCACAAACCCUUCAAUGUAAUCGAAUCUUUUAUCUGCCGAAAUCAGACGCUCUUGGUCCUUGGCAAAAGCAGAGAAAUCCAGGCUUUUUGACUCGGAUGAAACUCAAAAGGAUUGGUUUCUGAUUCGUUUGUGAGAAAAAGAAUGGUGAUCACUGAACUGAGGGGGUCAGGGGACGUGGAACGAAAGAAAUCCGUGUGCUCUCUGUAGGAAAUUAGGAGGCAAUUUCAGUCAUGAUGGGACCCAACAACACAAUCCUUGUAACGCAAGAACUAAAUGAGGCUGUGACAGCACAAAGCAAAGCAACCAAUGAGUGGAUAACAGAGAGGGACUCACUGCUUCUUCCGACAGAAUCAUCUCGGAUGGUCCGUUUUAUAUUAAUUUGUUUGCUUGGGGUUAAUUUGUCCAUUUUUUUUUUUUAAAGUAUUAUUAUCUAUUUGGUAGAGUUACAUUCACUUUUCCUCAGAAGAGUAGUGAUCAUCUUUGGAAAUAAUCAAUGAGCUACGAUGUCACCAAGGAGAUCGUUUCUCUUGAUUGUAACCUGAGAAGUAUAGAGUCUAAUGGAAGGAUUACAAAAAAGAGAGAGAGAGAGAGAGAGAGAGAGAGAGAGAGAGAGAGAGAGAGAGAGAGAGAGAGAGAGAGAGAGAGAGAGACUGGUGGCAAAAAGGUGUGGCCAAAUGAAGAUUGUGCACCCAAUAGAAAUCUCGGGUGUAGUUGUAGGGUCAGAGAGAUGAGAUUGGGUUUUCAGAGUUUGACCAGUCCGGUUUUAAACAGUGAAGAAAGAAGUUGGGCUCUUCUCAACUAAUUGGUGCGGUGGUGGGCAUGGUGUGAACUGAAAACAGAGUUGGUGGGAAUGGUUGGUCUCUAGAAGGAGAAGCGACCAGAGAGCACUAGCGAGAGACUCGUGGGGCAUAGCUUGUCCCAAAGCAAUCUUGGUCCCAAUAUAUAUUAUAUAUAUUAUAUAUGCAUUUGAACAUUUGUCAGCCAAAGGGUCGAAGGGACGGCUGUGGUGGUGUGUGAUUGAAGUGGACUGGUCCACGACUGUGACGCCUCUGCUGACUUGUCAGCUUAAACUCUCAUUGGUGCUUCCUUCCACCUUCACGUGGCUUUGUUCCCAUUAACAUUUUUUCUUCCAAAAACAAAAUUUAAAAACAUAAAGUAUGUGUAUGUGUGUGU